Molecule: ribosomal RNA, 446 nt
Filed under: uncultured Sharpea sp.
Lineage: Bacteria; Bacillati; Bacillota; Erysipelotrichia; Erysipelotrichales; Coprobacillaceae
Description: bacterial SSU rRNA
Rfam family: Bacterial small subunit ribosomal RNA
Source: RNAcentral
UAGGGAAUUUUCGGCAAUGGGGGGAACCCUGACCGAGCAACGCCGCGUGAACGAGGAAGGCCUUCGGGUCGUAAAGUUCUGUUGCGAAGGAAGAACGCCGGAGGGAGGAAAUGGCCUCCGGGUGACGGUACUUCGCGAGAAAGCCACGGCUAACUACGUGCCAGCAGCCGCGGUAAUACGUAGGUGGCGAGCGUUAUCCGGAAUCAUUGGGCGUAAAGAGGGAGCAGGCGGCCGUGAGGGUCUGUGGUAAAAGACUGAAGCUCAACUUCAGUGAGCCAUGGAAACCGGACGGCUGGAGUGCGGCAGAGGAUCGUGGAAUUCCAUGUGUAGCGGUGAAAUGCGUAGAUAUAUGGAGGAACACCAGUGGCGAAGGCGACGGUCUGGGCCUGCACUGACGCUCAUUCCCGAAAGCGUGGGGAGCAAAUAGGAUUAGAUACCCUGGUAGU